Molecule: long non-coding RNA, 249 nt
Filed under: Sorghum bicolor (sorghum)
Lineage: Eukaryota; Viridiplantae; Streptophyta; Magnoliopsida; Poales; Poaceae
Description: long non-coding RNA (SBIC_LNC006480)
Source: RNAcentral
UCAAGGCAUAGACUAGAGAUAAACUUGCAAGAACAUGAUUACUAAUAAGAAACGUGUCACACAGUCACAUACUUUAGCAGGGGGUAAACCAUAAAGAUAAUGAUAAUAAAGUAUAAGUUCAUGGGUAGAUAACACAGCGAUUAGAAAAUAGACUACUCCUCAUAUAUGUAGGUGAUGUCGGAUUAGCUAGAGAAUGGAUUCUAAGUUAUCUACUAACUACUAAGUCAUAAUCUACUCUAGUUAUCUACA